UACUAGAGUAGCACUCGCAUAUCAAUAAGCGGAGGAAAAGAAACUAACAAGGAUUCCCCUAGUAACGGCGAGUGAAGCGGGAAGAGCUCAAAUUUGAAAUCUUAAAGGGUUUCCCUUUACGAAUUGUAGUUUAAAGAAGUGUUUUCUGUUGAGGUUUUGGUAAAAGUUCUUUGGAAUAGGACAUCAUAGAGGGUGAGAAUCCCGUAUUUGACCUUUACUUUCAACUUUGUGAUACACUUUCAAAGAGUCGGAUUGUUUGGGAAUGCAGUCCAAAAUGGGUGGUAAAUUUCAUCUAAAGCUAAAUAUUGGCGAGAGACCGAUAGCGAACAAGUACCGUGAGGGAAAGACGAAAAGAACUUUGAAAAGAGAGUUAAACAGUACGUGAAAUUGUCAAAAGGGAAGCGUUUGACACCAGUGUUGUUUUUCUGAAAAUCAAUUAAAGAACUGUUUAUGCUAAGCUGUUUAGACUUUAUCAGCUAUCUGCUUAGUUUUGAGCUUUUCUUUAAUGCACUUUUCAGUUAACAAGUCAACAUCAAUUUCUUUUGCUGUAAAAAAGCUUGAGGAAGGUGGCUUGAGAUUCGUCUUAAGUGUUUAUAGCCUCUUGCCUAUGCAGUCGGAGAGAUUGAGGUCUGCAGCGUAGAUCCUUCGGGGCUAAAUGCAUUUGUGCUAAGUUAUAGCAUUUUAUAGACAACUUGUUGACUAUGAUUUGUCUUGUAGCUUACUCGCUUAUGUUAUUUUACCUACGCUUAGGAUGUUGAUCUACAGAGCGAGAGU
Molecule: ribosomal RNA, 774 nt
Filed under: uncultured Neocallimastigales
Lineage: Eukaryota; Fungi; Neocallimastigomycota; Neocallimastigomycetes; Neocallimastigales
Description: partial large subunit ribosomal RNA
Rfam family: Eukaryotic large subunit ribosomal RNA
Source: RNAcentral